AGCGAACGCUGGCGGCAUGCCUAACACAUGCAAGUCGCACGGGUCGGCUUCGGCCGGUCAGUGGCGGACGGGUGAGGAACGCGUAGGGAUCUGUCCUCUGGUGGUGUAUAACCGCGGGAAACUUCUGCUAAGACCGCAUGGUGCGCCGGUGUGAGAGCCGGUGUCAAAGGCGCGCAUCGCGAGGUGUGUGUCGGCGGGGGGUGAGCCUGCGUCCGAUUAGCUGGUUGGCGGGGUAGUGGCCCACCAAGGCGUCGAUCGGUAGCUGGUCUGAGAGGGAGAUCAGACACACUGGGACUGAGACACGGCGCAGACUCCUACGGGAGGGAGGAGAGGGGAAUAUUGGAAAAUGGGGGCAAGGCUGAAGCAGCAAUGGCGGGUGGGUGAAGAAGGUCUUCGGAUUGUAAAGCCCUAUGGGCGGGGACGAUGGUGACGGUACCCGCAGAAGAAGCCCCGGCUAACUUCGUG
This 465-nucleotide ribosomal RNA is filed under the name uncultured bacterium. Its description in RNAcentral is "partial 16S ribosomal RNA". It matches the Rfam family "Bacterial small subunit ribosomal RNA", at positions 30 to 507 of the family's 1533-position model. The record is from RNAcentral.